Molecule: ribosomal RNA, 263 nt
Filed under: uncultured bacterium
Lineage: Bacteria
Description: partial 16S ribosomal RNA
Rfam family: Bacterial small subunit ribosomal RNA
Source: RNAcentral
GUCCACGCCCUAAACGAUGUCAACUGGUUGUUGUGAAGGUUCCUUCUCAGUAACGUAGCUAACGCGUGAAGUUGACCGCCUGGGGAGUACGGCCGCAAGGUUGAACUCAAGGAAUUGACGGGGACCCGGCACAAGCGGUGGAUGAUGUGGUUUAAUUCGAUGCAACGCGAAAACCUUAACCUACCCUUGACAUGCUAGGAAUUCCGCAGAGAUGUGGAAGUGCUCGAAAGAGAACCUAGGCACAGGUGCUGCAUGGCCGUCGU